RNAcentral lists this ribosomal RNA (492 nucleotides) under uncultured bacterium. Its description in RNAcentral is "partial 16S ribosomal RNA". It matches the Rfam family "Bacterial small subunit ribosomal RNA", at positions 29 to 507 of the family's 1533-position model. The record is from RNAcentral.
AGUGAACGCUGGCGGUAGGCCUAACACAUGCAAGUCGAACGGCAGCACAGUAAGAUCUUGCUCUUACGGGUGGCGAGUGGCGUACGUGUGAGGAAUACAUCGUAAUCUACUUUUUCGUGUGGGAUAACGUAGGGAAACUUACGCUAAUACCGCAUACGACCUACGGUUGAAAGCAGGGGAUCGUCGGGGCUGGCGCGAUUGGAUGAGCCGAUGCCGGAUUAGAUAGUGGGCGGGGUAAACGCCCACCAAGUCGACGAUCCGUAGCUGGUCGGUGAGGCUGGUAGGCCGCCUGGGAAGUGAGCCACGGACCAGAGGACUAAGGGAGGCAGCAGUGGGGAAUAUUGGACAACGGGCGCAAGUCUGAUACAGCCAUCCCGCGUGGGUGACGAAGGCGUUCGGGUUGGAAAGCCCUUUUGUUGGGAAAGAAAAGCAGCAGGUUAAUACCCAGCUGUUCUGACGGUAACCAAAGAAUAAGCACCGGCUAACUUCGUG